AUUCCAACAUCGCUGAGUUCCGUAAGGGAACGGGGGAACCGCAUCGCGGAUGUCACAGCGCUACGCUGUUGAUGAACGUGGUGUUUAUAGGGGUGAAUCUUGGGGCAGGCAGCUGCUUCCGAGUAGGGCGACUCUCAAGUCCGAAUCCGUCAGCUAACCUCGUAAGCGUUAAGAGAGAGGUAAC
This 184-nucleotide small RNA is filed under the name Paenibacillus naphthalenovorans. RNAcentral's name for it is "c-di-AMP sequence". It matches the Rfam family "c-di-AMP riboswitch aptamer (ydaO/yuaA leader)". From Rfam's summary of the family: This family represents a conserved RNA structure found upstream of the ydaO and yuaA genes in Bacillus subtilis and related genes in other bacteria. The ydaO/yuaA element is thought to act as a genetic "off" switch for the ydaO and yuaA genes in its native state. Lineage: Bacteria; Bacillati; Bacillota; Bacilli; Caryophanales; Paenibacillaceae. The record is from Rfam by way of RNAcentral.